Molecule: ribosomal RNA, 735 nt
Filed under: Streptomyces albogriseolus
Lineage: Bacteria; Bacillati; Actinomycetota; Actinomycetes; Kitasatosporales; Streptomycetaceae
Description: bacterial SSU rRNA
Rfam family: Bacterial small subunit ribosomal RNA
Source: RNAcentral
GCAUGCUUACACAUGCAAGUCGAACGAUGAACCACUUCGGUGGGGAUUAGUGGCGAACGGGUGAGUAACACGUGGGCAAUCUGCCCUGCACUCUGGGACAAGCCCUGGAAACGGGGUCUAAUACCGGAUACUGACCCGCUUGGGCAUCCAAGCGGUUCGAAAGCUCCGGCGGUGCAGGAUGAGCCCGCGGCCUAUCAGCUUGUUGGUGAGGUAAUGGCUCACCAAGGCGACGACGGGUAGCCGGCCUGAGAGGGCGACCGGCCACACUGGGACUGAGACACGGCCCAGACUCCUACGGGAGGCAGCAGUGGGGAAUAUUGCACAAUGGGCGAAAGCCUGAUGCAGCGACGCCGCGUGAGGGAUGACGGCCUUCGGGUUGUAAACCUCUUUCAGCAGGGAAGAAGCGAAAGUGACGGUACCUGCAGAAGAAGCGCCGGCUAACUACGUGCCAGCAGCCGCGGUAAUACGUAGGGCGCGAGCGUUGUCCGGAAUUAUUGGGCGUAAAGAGCUCGUAGGCGGCUUGUCACGUCGGUUGUGAAAGCCCGGGGCUUAACCCCGGGUCUGCAGUCGAUACGGGCAGGCUAGAGUUCGGUAGGGGAGAUCGGAAUUCCUGGUGUAGCGGUGAAAUGCGCAGAUAUCAGGAGGAACACCGGUGGCGAAGGCGGAUCUCUGGGCCGAUACUGACGCUGAGGAGCGAAAGCGUGGGGAGCGAACAGGAUUAGAUACCCUGGUAGU